Chenopodium quinoa (quinoa) is the source of this 2600-nucleotide long non-coding RNA. RefSeq lists it as uncharacterized. The transcript is spliced from 2 exons. The record is from RefSeq and is a predicted model, not a curated record. NCBI's taxonomy places the organism in Eukaryota, Viridiplantae, Streptophyta, Magnoliopsida, Caryophyllales, Amaranthaceae.
AUAGGAUCAUGUAAAAACAAGUGUUAAAAUAAAAACUGAAAACUUUUAAUCUGAGCCGUUCAUCAAAUUGUAUAGCUGAGAUUUCUUUCCUCUUAUUUUUCAGACAUUACUGAAUUUCUUUCCUCUUGUUUCAGACAUUAGUGAAUUUCUCUCUCCUCCUUAAUUUUCACGUUAUUUUCUCUCUCCUCUUUAUUCUCUCCUCUUUCGUACUUUAUCUCUCUUCAACCAGCUUCCCUGUUACUCUCUCUACUGUGUUAAGAGCAAAUUUUGGCGAAAAAACUCUAGAUAUCACAAUUCAGGUAUGAUUAUAUUCGACAAUUUGUUUGUUUUUUCACGAAUUUUCAGCGAUUUUUGUGAUUUGAUAUUUGCGUUUUUUCUAUUCGAUUUUCAUGAAUUUUGCAUGAGUUCGAUUUUUCUGAUUUGAUUUUAAGAGUUUCGCAUGGAGUUUGAUUUUUUUGAGUUCGAUUUUUGCAAUUUGCUUAUUUUUGCGGAUCUAUAGUUCGAUUUUAGAUUUCGAAUUUCAGAGAUUUAGUGUUCGAAUUUAGGGUUUGAUUUUAGCUAAUUUUUUCAGAUUUUGAUUUCAAAUUAAUGGCGGUUUGGGAUGCGAAUAGCUAAAAUGCGAUUUAUGUGUGUGUGUUUGUGUAUGUAUAGCCCUAUGUGAUCUCUAUUCAUGCUGCGUGCUGGUUUGUUUGGGUUUGACAGGGGUUAGAUGUGUUGUUGUGCUACUUUGUGCUGCUUGUUGUAUUUGCCUAGGAGCUGACUUGCUUCUGUUUGCUGCUCCUGAGUUCGAUUUUUUUGAUUUGAUUUUAAGAAUUUUGCAUGGAGUUUGAUUUUUUUUUUUUAGUUCGAUUAUUGCAAAUGUAGGGUUCGAUUUUUGCUUAUUUUUGCGGAUAUAUAGUUCAAUUUUAGAUUUCGAAUUUCAGAGAUUUAGUGUUCGAAUUUAGGGUCUGAUUUUAGCUAAUUUUUGCGGAUUUUGAUUUCAAAUUAAUGGUUGUUUGGGGUGCGAAUAGCUAAAAUGCGAUUUGUGUGUGUGUGUGUCUGUGUAUGUAUAGCCCUAUGUGAUCUCUGUUUUCUUCUGCAUGCUGGUUUGUUUGGGUUUGACACGGGUUUGUUGUGUUAUAUUGUGCUACUUUGUGCUGCUUGCUGUGUUUGCCUAGGAGCUGACUUGCUUCUGUUUGCUGCUCUCUGCUGCAAGGCUGUUUGUGUUGUUCUGUGAAGCUUUGUUUCUUCUGCCUCCUGCUGGCUACUUGUUUUUCAGCUUGCUAUUGUUGUGGGUUGCUGUUAUGCUUGGCUGUUCUCUGGUCCUGCAUUGAUGUUCCUUGAUGUUGUUGUGUUCCUCUCUUACAACCUGUCUUUGCUUAUUUGUGUUGCUUUGUUUGUUGUUGUGGUGUUUUGUUGUCUUGUUGUUUGCCUUUGUUUGUUUUGGCUUUGGUUGUUUCCUAGCUUGUACGUUGCUAGCUUAGUUGUACCAGAUGGUGAUUAUGUUUCAUGUGUCCGGUUUUGGAGGGGUGUUGGACUAUGUUUUUUUUUGAAGUUUUGUUUAAAAAAAAGGUCACUAUGCUAUAAAAAGAGGCAACUACUUUGGUUUCUUUUGUUUAUCUUUUCGUAUGUCUUGUUACAGGGUGCAACAAGGAUUUUCAUUCGAUUUGGAUUAGAUUAUAUUCCUAUGGUGAGAACUAGAGGUGGUGUGACUUUUAAAAAAAGAAGAGGCCUUCGUAGCUUAACAGGAGGAGUUAAAUUGAAAGAUACAGGAGCAUGUAUCCAUCUCGAUGAUGAAGAUGAAGAGCAUAUUGAUGGUUGAAGCAAAAUGAUUGAUGAUGAUACUAACAGAGAUAAAGAUGCUUGUAUUGAAAAAGGAUUGAAAAAGAAAGCUAUCACUAAGAAAAAGAAACCUUCUACUAUUGAUAAUGCUAUACCUUUGUCAACUGUGAUGGAAGGAAAGAAGGGGAAUGAGUCUUCUUCUUCACAUGCUAUUGUUUUGUCAGCUAAGAAGAGAAAGUUGGAUAAAAAUGAAGGUCUUAAAGUGAAGAAAGUGAAGGCAAAUAAGGAUAAGAACAUUGUGAUUCAUAGGCAAGAAUCUGCAAUCAUAGAUGGUGAUGUACAUAAUUACCCGAAGUUAAUAUAUAGUUGCCUAUUUUCGAUAUAAUGACCUUAGAAUUAUGGAAAUGUUGUAAAUUUUGUUUCAGUCACCUUAUUUUUAUAUAUAGUGACCUUUAUUUUUGUAUAUAGUGACAUUUAUGUAAAUGGUGUCAAAAACUCAGUCGAUAUAGUUACUUUAUUUUUGUAUAUAGUGACCUUAAUGUAAAUGUUGUAAAAAUUGUUAUAGUUACCCUAUUUUUGUAUAUAGUGACCUCUAUGUAAAUUUGGUCAAAAUUGAAAUAGUUACCCUAUUUUUGUAUAUAGUGACCUUAAUGUAAAUAUUGUAAAAAUUGAUAUAGCUACCCUAUUUUUGUAUAUAGUUACGUUAUUUUUAUAUAUAGUGACUCUAUGUAAAUAUCGUCAAUUUAGAUAAAGUUACCUUAUUUUAGCAUGUAGUGACUUUUAAAAUGUUGCCUUUGUAAAAAAAAAAAAAAAAAAAAAAAAAAAAAAAAAAAAAAAAA